This 448-nucleotide ribosomal RNA is filed under the name Megophrys omeimontis (Mount Omei spadefoot toad). Its description in RNAcentral is "Xenophrys omeimontis (Mount Omei spadefoot toad) partial 12S ribosomal RNA". It matches the Rfam family "Bacterial small subunit ribosomal RNA", at positions 881 to 1524 of the family's 1533-position model. Lineage: Eukaryota; Metazoa; Chordata; Amphibia; Anura; Megophryidae. The record is from RNAcentral.
UACGAGCGUCAACUUAAAACCCAAAAGACUUGGCGGUGCCCUAUACCACCUAGAGGAGCCUGUUCUAUAAUCGAUAAUCCCCGAUUCACCUCACCAUCUCUUGCCAAUACCGCCUGUAUACCUCCGUCGCCAACUGACCCCAUAAGGGCUAAAGUCGGUUAAAUGGCUUUCCUCCAGUAAGUCAGGUCAAGGUGCAGCGAAUGAGAUGGGAAGAAAUGGGCUACAUUUUCUACUAAUAGAAUAUACGAAAGAUCACUAUGAAAUCUGAUUGGAAGGUGGAUUUAGCAGUAAAAAGAGACUAGAGUGCUCUUUUUAAGUUGGCUCUAGGGCGCGUACACACCGCCCGUCACCCUCUUCGACCCGUUUAAAACAAUUUAUAAUUUCCCACUAGGAACAAAGAAGAGGCAAGUCGUAACAUGGUAAGUCCACCGGAAGGUGGACUUGGAAC